Molecule: ribosomal RNA, 119 nt
Filed under: Pteropus alecto (black flying fox)
Lineage: Eukaryota; Metazoa; Chordata; Mammalia; Chiroptera; Pteropodidae
Source: RNAcentral
GUCUAUGGCUAUGUGACCCUGAACAAGCCUGAUCCCAUCUGAUCAUGGAAGCUAAGCAGGGUCGGGCCUGGUUAAUACUUGGAUAGGAGACCACCUAGGAAGACCAGGUGCUAUAGAAG